Molecule: ribosomal RNA, 244 nt
Filed under: uncultured bacterium
Lineage: Bacteria
Description: partial 16S ribosomal RNA
Rfam family: Bacterial small subunit ribosomal RNA
Source: RNAcentral
CGAACGUGGGUAACCUGCCUUAUAGUGGGGGAUAGCCUUUCGAAAGGAAGAUUAAUACCGCAUAAGAUUGUAGUAUCGCAUGAUAUAGCAAUUAAAGGAGCAAUUCGCUAUAGGAUGGACCCGCGUCGCAUUAGCUAGUUGGUGAGGUAAUGGCUCACCAAGGCGACGAUGCGUAGCCGACCUGAGAGGGUGAUCGGCCACAUUGGACUGAGACACGGCCCAGACUCCUACGGGAGGCAGCAUG